GGGAGAUGGCUCAGUGGUUAAGAGCACUGGCUGCCAUUUCAGAGGACCUGGGUUCCAUUCCUAGCACCCA
Molecule: non-coding RNA, 70 nt
Organism: Mesocricetus auratus (golden hamster)
Lineage: Eukaryota; Metazoa; Chordata; Mammalia; Rodentia; Cricetidae
Source: Rfam